CCUACGGGAGGCAGCAGUGGGGAAUAUUGCACAAUGGGGGCAACCCUGAUCCAGCGACGCCGCGUGAGUGAAGAAGUUCUUCGUUAUGUAAAGCUCUUUCAGCAGGGAAGAAACACUGACCUUACGGUCAGCAGUCGGUACCUGCGUAAGAAGCCCCGGCUAACUACGUGCCAGCAGCCGCGGGAAUACGUAGGGGGCAAGCGGUAUCCGGAUGUAUUGGGUUUAAUGGGUGCGCAGGGGGCGGUUCAAGUAAGCGGUCAAAUUGCGGGGCUCAACCCCGUACUGCCGUUGAAACUGCAUCCCUUGAGUGCGCGAGAAGUAUGCGGAAUGCGUGGUGUAGCGGUGAAAUGCAUAGAUAUCACGCAGAACUCCGAUUGCGAAGGCAGCAUACCGGCGCGCAACUGACGCUCAUGCACGAAAGCGUGGGUAUCGAACAGGAUUAGAUACCCCUGUAGUC
This 457-nucleotide ribosomal RNA is filed under the name uncultured bacterium. RNAcentral describes it as "partial 16S ribosomal RNA". It matches the Rfam family "Bacterial small subunit ribosomal RNA", at positions 338 to 795 of the family's 1533-position model. The record is from RNAcentral.